Molecule: ribosomal RNA, 253 nt
Filed under: uncultured bacterium
Lineage: Bacteria
Description: partial 16S ribosomal RNA
Rfam family: Bacterial small subunit ribosomal RNA
Source: RNAcentral
UACAGAGGGUGCAAGCGUUGUUCGGAAUUACUGGGCGUAAAGCGCGUGUAGGCUGCAAUGUAAGUCGGAUGUGAAAGCCCUCAGCUUAACUGAGGAAGUGCAUCUGAUACUGCAUCGCUUGAGUGUCGGAGGGGAUGGCGGAAUUCCUGGUGUAGCGGUGAAAUGCGUAGAUAUCAGGAGGAACACCUGUGGCGAAAGCGGCUCACUGGACCAUAACUGACGCUGAUGCACGAAAGCUAGGGGAGCAAACAGG